CCUCCAGUCAACAUAAAUCCCUUCUUCUAAUCCCUUCUACACGUUUCCUUUAUUCAUCAAAACCUCCACCCCUAAAAUAUCUCCAACAACCAAAUAAAUCAAUAUCCAUCAGUUUAAUAUCUCACAUUCACGUCUUCCACAUCCAAGAAAAAUCUGUGAGAAAAACCUACUGCAGUUUUCUCCUUUUCCGUUAAGUGUAAAGGAGAAACUGGGAGAGCUGUUUUUACCUUCUGUUGUGCAAACUUUUUCUUCUUCCCAAAGGGUGAACUUGUGCACGUUAUUGCGGUUGGAACAGAAAGUGUUUGGGGAGUUAAGCUGUUGAGAUUGAGCGGCGAUGGACGUGGAGGAUGUUGAGCAGAGUUCAUGGAUUGUUUUGUCAUGAUUAAUAAUUGUUGAAUUUGUCGUGUCUUCAUACUCGGCAUUUUCCGUGUCUUGAACGCUUCUGCCAAGAGUCAUUUUCUUUAGAAUUAUUUAUUCGUGCAGAGUCUAACUCGUUUGAAAAUUGUUUAUUGUCCAUUCUUUAUUUCCUUAGAGUUGGUAUUAUUGUUAGGAAAAUAUUAUGACGUUUCCAAGUCAAAUUCAGUUAUUAAAUUUUUUGGUCAAAUGUGUAUGUUUUUCCCCUUUCUUCCCCGCUUCUUUAAUCCUCCCCUAGUUGCGAUCAACCGUAUUUUCUAUCCUUAGAAAAUGCGGGCGUGACA
Long non-coding RNA from Salvia splendens (bonfire salvia), 698 nucleotides. RefSeq lists it as uncharacterized. NCBI's taxonomy places the organism in Eukaryota, Viridiplantae, Streptophyta, Magnoliopsida, Lamiales, Lamiaceae. The transcript is spliced from 4 exons. The record is from RefSeq and is a predicted model, not a curated record.